Molecule: small nucleolar RNA, 111 nt
Organism: Pseudophryne corroboree (corroboree frog)
Lineage: Eukaryota; Metazoa; Chordata; Amphibia; Anura; Myobatrachidae
Source: RefSeq, a predicted model, not a curated record
GGUCAGUGAUGAGUUGCCAUGCUAAUACCGACGCAACAGCCAGGACCAUCUAGGCUCUGAGCUGGGGGCGGCUGAGUUGAACGAACUUCUCACCUGUGAGCUCUGAGGCCA